UGAGGAAUAUUGGUCAAUGGACGAGAGUCUGAACCAGCCAAGUAGCGUGAAGGAUGACUGCCCUAUGGGUUGUAAACUUCUUUUAUAUGGGAAUAAAACAGGGUAUGCAUACCCUCUUGUAUGUACCAUAUGAAUAAGGAUCGGCUAACUCCGUGCCAGCAGCCGCGGUAAUACGGAGGAUCCGAGCGUUAUCCGGAUUUAUUGGGUUUAAAGGGAGCGUAGGUGGAUUGUUAAGUCAGUUGUGAAAGUUUGCGGCUCAACCGUAAAAUUGCAGUUGAAACUGGCAGUCUUGAGUACAGUAGA
This 303-nucleotide ribosomal RNA is filed under the name uncultured bacterium. RNAcentral's name for it is "bacterial SSU rRNA". It matches the Rfam family "Bacterial small subunit ribosomal RNA", at positions 355 to 655 of the family's 1533-position model. The record is from RNAcentral.